Long non-coding RNA from Silurus meridionalis, 111 nucleotides. RefSeq lists it as uncharacterized. The transcript has 3 exons. NCBI's taxonomy places the organism in Eukaryota, Metazoa, Chordata, Actinopteri, Siluriformes, Siluridae. The record is from RefSeq and is a predicted model, not a curated record.
CGAUAGCGAUGAGAGGCACGGCUAGACCAGAGAUUCGCCAUUUAUUAUCUGAUGGUGUCUGUUUCAAUACAGUGAUUGGAGAAUACAGAAGCUGGAAGUAAAUCAUACGAC